UUAAAACCAAAAAAAAAAAGCAAAUGGAAAUACUUUAAUUUGAUUCACAUAAGAACAUCAUGAACCCAAAUCCCAGAAGAUGAUCUUAAUUAAUUUCAGCGAGACCGGCGAGUAAUUAGAUGAUGAUCAUAUGAUGUUCUUGAUGAUCUUGGAAGGUAUACUAUUGACUCAGAAACAUCAGAAGCUCCUUUACAGGAAUUGUAAAGAUUUAUGAAUCCAAACCUGUCACUAAUGCUUCUUGACACCUUUGUAACAUUCCAGAAGUUACUAACAGUAACAGAUUCUUCAUCAUCAUCAUCACCCUUGGAACAUUCAACUAAUGCAGUGAAG
RNAcentral lists this unclassified non-coding RNA (330 nucleotides) under Hevea brasiliensis (rubber tree). The record is from RNAcentral. Lineage: Eukaryota; Viridiplantae; Streptophyta; Magnoliopsida; Malpighiales; Euphorbiaceae.